This 750-nucleotide ribosomal RNA is filed under the name uncultured bacterium. RNAcentral describes it as "bacterial SSU rRNA". It matches the Rfam family "Bacterial small subunit ribosomal RNA", at positions 73 to 769 of the family's 1533-position model. The record is from RNAcentral.
CCCUUUUUUGCGAUGUUUGUUUUUUUUCAGUUAACUGCAGCGACGAGAGACUUCGGGUCUCUAGUGGCGAACGGGUGAGUACACGUAGGGAACCUGUCCGCGCACCGGGAAUACGCUCUGGAAACGGAGAACAACUCCCGAUGUACAGGAAGGAGGCAUCUUCUUUCUGUGAAACAUCCUUUAGGGGAUGGGGCGCGGAUGGACCUGCGGUGCAUUAGUUGGUUGGCGGGGUAAAGGCCCACCAAGACGAUGAUGCAUAGCCGGCCUGAGAGGGCGGACGGCCACAUUGGGACUGAGACACGGCCCAGACUCCUGCGGGAGGCAGCAGUAGGGAAUUUUCGUCAAUGGGCGCAAGCCUGAACGAGCGAUGCCGCGUGAGUGAAGAAGGCCUUCGGGUCGUAAAGCUCUGUUGCGGGGGAAAAAAGGCAGCAUCAGGAAAUGGGUGCUGACUGAUGGUGCCCCGCCAGAAAGUCACGGCUAACUACGUGCCAGCAGCCGCGGUAAUACGUAGGUGGCGAGCGUUAUCCGGAAUGAUUGGGCGUAAAGGGUGCGCAGGCGGUCCUGCAAGUCUGGAGUGAAACGCAUGAGCUCAACUCAUGCAUGGCUUUGGAAACUGGAGGACUGGAGAGCAGGAGAGGGCGGUGGAACUCCAUGUGUAGCGGUAAAAUGCGUAGAUAUAUGGAAGAACACCAGUGGCGAAGGCGGCCGCCUGGCCUGUUGCUGACGCUGAGGCACGAAAGCGUGGGGAGC